CAACAGCUAUUUCCUUUAAUUGUUGCACUGAAAACGAUCCCAAGCUACCAAAACAAAGAAACACUACGCUUUUACUAGGUUGAGAGUCUAACCAUUUGAUGCACUGAGGAACACCAUCACCGUCCACGGUGGUGUUAACAAUGAGAGGUCCGAUGCAGUAAAGGGGAGGCGUGGGGUAGUCCGGCAAGCAGAGUCCAUCAUUAAUCUCUUUGAAGCUCUUUGGCUCGAGAUAUUCAAAAGUGUCCACAAUAAUCCCAGUUGAACGGGGCAAGUUGGUGGCGAUGUCUAAGAAAACGUCAUACAGCUUGUUGCCUUUGAACGUUGUCGGCGGCAUAUCUGCAGAUGGAAUCGGUGGAGCACCAGGGAUAUCAAGGAGAACGUUGAGAUGUUGGAAGCUUUGAGUGAAUUUGUUACAGAGGGUGGGCAAAUAAAGUAAGCAAGCAGCGGCACCGAGGGCGGUAGGGAGGAAAGAGUAAGCUGGAAGGUUGAGAUCGGAGGCCACUUCGAAUGCUGCGCUGGUGCAGAAGAAGUCGACGAUAAUGGCGUUGAGUGUGUAGUUAUUGGAGAUGGUGAGAAGGGUGCGACGGACAUCGGGGUUUCUGAGGCGGAUGACGUCGAAGAAAAGCGGAUCUAAGUCGGUUGAGGUUGGAAGGAGGUCGACGGUGGGGAGGUAGUGGAAGGUGAUGGAAGGAGGAACGGGGGAGGGGACGGUGGAGGAAGGUUGUGAAGGAAGGGUGGCGAUGAGGAUGUGGAUAGAAAGGGAAGGGUGUUGAGUGAGGAGGAGCUUGGCGAACUCUACCAUGGGUGCCAGGUGAGUAAGCAUAGAUGCUGGGUAAAUAACUAUGGCUUCCUCCAUUGGUGAU
This 863-nucleotide long non-coding RNA is filed under the name Gossypium barbadense (sea-island cotton). RNAcentral describes it as "long non-coding RNA (GBAR_LNC022085)". Lineage: Eukaryota; Viridiplantae; Streptophyta; Magnoliopsida; Malvales; Malvaceae. The record is from RNAcentral.